RNAcentral lists this ribosomal RNA (253 nucleotides) under uncultured bacterium. RNAcentral describes it as "partial 16S ribosomal RNA". It matches the Rfam family "Bacterial small subunit ribosomal RNA", at positions 524 to 776 of the family's 1533-position model. The record is from RNAcentral.
UACGUAGGGGGCUAGCGUUGUCCGGAAUCAUUGGGCGUAAAACGCGUGUAGGCGGCCCGGUAAGUCCGCUGUGAAAGUCGGGGGCUCAACCCUCGGAUGCCGGUGGAUACUGUCGGGCUUGAGUACGGAAGAGGCGAGUGGAAUUCCUGGUGUAGCGGUGAAAUGCGCAGAUAUCAGGAGGAACACCGAUUGCGAAGGCAGCUCGCUGGGACGUUACUGACGCUGAGACGCGAAAGCGUGGGGAGCAAACAGG